GUGCCAGCCGCCGCGGUAAUACGGAGGGUGCAAGCGUUGUCCGGAAUCACUGGGCGUAAAGGGUGCGCAGGCGGGGCAGCAAGUCGGAGGUGAAAGCCCGUGGCUCAACCACAGAAGUGCCUUCGAAACUGUUGCUCUUGAGUCCCGGUGAGGUUGCAGGAAUUCGUGGUGUAGCGGUGAAAUGCGUAGAUAUCACGAGGAACACCAGAGGCGAGAGCGGGCAACUGGACGGGUACUGACGCUCAGGCACGAAAGCGCGGGGAGCAAACAGGAUUAGAAACCCGAGUAGUCC
This 292-nucleotide ribosomal RNA is filed under the name uncultured bacterium. RNAcentral describes it as "partial 16S ribosomal RNA". It matches the Rfam family "Bacterial small subunit ribosomal RNA", at positions 505 to 796 of the family's 1533-position model. The record is from RNAcentral.